RNAcentral lists this non-coding RNA (29 nucleotides) under Rattus norvegicus (Norway rat). Lineage: Eukaryota; Metazoa; Chordata; Mammalia; Rodentia; Muridae. The record is from RNAcentral.
UCCUGAGGUGAAACAUGUGUCCAUGAUGU